GAGCCCGGAGCGGGGGGAAGGCACCCCCCGAGCGGCACGUCCCGCACAGCAGCAGGGGAGCGAGCGGGGCUCCCUCACGGUGUGGGUCUGCGGAGGGCACGCACUGCACGGAGGCGCGGGUGUCCCCGGCAGCAGCAAACCGCGGGGUUACCACAUGCGGGCGGAGAGAGAUGCUGUGGCUGUUCUCCAAGGCUGGGAUGUGCUGAGGAAAGGACAAGAUGCAGGUUAAAACCUCUCCCUCUGGAAAGGAAUAGAGGCAUUUCUGAGACACAAAUAGCUUCCCAGACCGAACGGGGAGUUUCAAACCACUGUGUUUUCCAAAGCCUCCCCGGCCAACCUUUAGUGAGUAAGAGCUACAAUGGACACGACCAAAAAGGUGGUUUCCACACAGGGCAAGUCCAUGAAGCCUGACUUACUGGCCCUCAAUUGCAAGAACCACUGGAAUUCUCCCUUCUUAAGAACAGAGGUGCAAGAUGUGAUGCCAGCCUCAUUUUCACUGAAACUGGUGACGGUUUGGGUACUGCUGUCACUCAGAACAAGCUGCCUCAGCACUUUUCCCCUCAGAGGGAAGGAAAUGAAACAAUGUGCCUAAAUUAAGGAUGUGGGUUUUUUCAGCAUCUAAACUGAGCACUUCCACCAGCCAACUUCAUGCUGACCACAAAACCUACAUGGAAGUGGACAAUUGACCCCAGCACCAAUUCUCCUCUACUGACAAGGCCGAACUGCUGCAUCUCAAGAUGCAAAUCUCAAGAUCUGCACAUCUAGUUUACCCAAAUAGUGACAGCCUGAGCUCUCAACAGUGUGUCAGUGCCCAGCUAUCACUAGUGUCCCUCUGCAAAGCAAGGAGAAUCCUGUGCUCCUGCAAAACACAUACUGGAUCUGGACAGAAAACAUCACAUUAGCUGUGAUCCUUCUAAGCAGGAAAGUACAACUUGAAUGCUGGCCUCCUGAAUGCAGAAGGAGUUCAUGUGGAGUUUCAGGUACUUUCAAGGACUCAGUUGCUGUGGCUCACCUUGGGUAUUUCCAGAAGAUAUUCCAGAAACAAUUUUAUAGUCGACCUGGAUUUCACCCCAGAUUCUUGCAGGACAAAUGACCUAAGAAACUGUAUGAUGCAAAAAGUAAAUCCCCCGAAACAGAAAAAAUAGCUACCAUUACAAGUAUCUGAUGUAAAAAAAUAGUAUAUACAUGUUCUCAAUAUGUAAAAUACAAUUUAUUGUAUUUAGGCCAUUCAUAAGUAUCAACACAAUGUUUGAAACAAACAUCUUACCAAUAAAUACUAGCUAAACAUUGAUAUUAA
Molecule: long non-coding RNA, 1297 nt
Organism: Melopsittacus undulatus (budgerigar)
Lineage: Eukaryota; Metazoa; Chordata; Aves; Psittaciformes; Psittaculidae
Exons: 3
Source: RefSeq, a predicted model, not a curated record